GAGGGUACAGCUCAGUGGUAGAGCACGUGCUUAGCAUGCAUGAGGUCCUGGGUUCUAUGCCCAGUACCUCCU
Molecule: transfer RNA, 72 nt
Organism: Camelus ferus (Wild Bactrian camel)
Lineage: Eukaryota; Metazoa; Chordata; Mammalia; Artiodactyla; Camelidae
Rfam family: tRNA
About the family: Transfer RNA (tRNA) molecules are approximately 80 nucleotides in length. Their secondary structure includes four short double-helical elements and three loops (D, anti-codon, and T loops). Further hydrogen bonds mediate the characteristic L-shaped molecular structure. tRNAs have two regions of fundamental functional importance: the anti-codon, which is responsible for specific mRNA codon recognition, and the 3' end, to which the tRNAs corresponding amino acid is attached (by aminoacyl-tRNA synthetases). tRNAs cope with the degeneracy of the genetic code in two manners: having more than one tRNA (with a specific anti-codon) for a particular amino acid; and 'wobble' base-pairing, i.e. permitting non-standard base-pairing at the 3rd anti-codon position.
Source: Rfam